RNAcentral lists this ribosomal RNA (261 nucleotides) under uncultured Piloderma. RNAcentral describes it as "partial 28S ribosomal RNA". It matches the Rfam family "Eukaryotic large subunit ribosomal RNA", at positions 1 to 252 of the family's 3401-position model. Lineage: Eukaryota; Fungi; Basidiomycota; Agaricomycetes; Atheliales; Atheliaceae. The record is from RNAcentral.
UUGACCUCNAAUCAGGUAGGACUACCCGCUGAACUUAAGCAUAUCAAUAAGCGGAGGAAAAGAAACUAACAAGGAUUCCCUAGUAACUGCGAGUGAAGCGGGAAAAGCUCAAAUUUAAAAUCUGGGGGUCUUGCGGCCGUCCGAGUUGUAAUCUGGAGAAGGGUUUAUCCGCGUCGGACCGUGUACAAGUCUUCUGGAAGGGAGCGUCCUAAAAGGUGAGAAUCCCGUCUUUGACACGGACAACCGGUGCUUUUGUGAUGC